GACGAACGCUGGCGGCGUGCUUAACACAUGCAAGUCGAACGGUGAAGGGACUGGUUUUGCUGGUCCUGGAUGAGUGGCGAACGGGUGAGUAACACGUGAGUAACCUGCCCCCUUCUUCUGGAUAACCGCAUGAAAGUGUGGCUAAUACGGGAUAUUCUGGGUCUGUCGCAUGGUGGGCCUGGGAAAGAUUGCGCCUUUUUUGGUGUUUUUGGUGGGGGAUGGGCUCGCGGCCUAUCAGCUUGUUGGUGGGGUGAUGGCCUACCAAGGCGGUGACGGGUAGCCGGCCUGAGAGGGUGGACGGUCACACUGGGACUGAGACACGGCCCAGACUCCUACGGGAGGCAGCAGUGGGGAAUAUUGCACAAUGGGCGCAAGCCUGAUGCAGCGACGCCGCGUGAGGGAUGGAGGCCUUCGGGUUGUGAACCUCUUUCGCCAGUGAAGCAGGCCUGCCUCUUUUUGUGGGUGGGUUGACGGGAGCUGGAUAAGAAGCGCCGGCUAACUACG
This 504-nucleotide ribosomal RNA is filed under the name uncultured bacterium. RNAcentral describes it as "partial 16S ribosomal RNA". It matches the Rfam family "Bacterial small subunit ribosomal RNA", at positions 28 to 505 of the family's 1533-position model. The record is from RNAcentral.